This 301-nucleotide ribosomal RNA is filed under the name uncultured bacterium. RNAcentral describes it as "partial 16S ribosomal RNA". It matches the Rfam family "Bacterial small subunit ribosomal RNA", at positions 509 to 808 of the family's 1533-position model. The record is from RNAcentral.
CAGCCCCGCGGGAAUACGUAGGGUGCAAGCGUUGUCCGGAAUCAUUGGGCGUAAAGCGCGCGUAGGUGGCCAUUUAAGUCCGCUGUGAAAGUCAAAGGCUCAACCUUUGAAAGCCGGUGGAUACUGGAUGGCUAGAGUACGGAAGAGGCGAGUGGAAUUCCUGGUGUAGCGGUGGAAUGCGCAGAUAUCAGGAGGAACACCAAUAGCGAAGGCAGCUCGCUGGGACGUUACUGACACUGAGGCGCGAAAGCGUGGGGAGCGAACAGGAUUAGAUACCCCCGUAGUCCCUGUCUCUUAUACC